GACGAACGCUGGCGGCGUGCCUAACACAUGCAAGUCGAACGGGGUGUUCCUUCGGGGACACUUAGUGGCGAACGGGUGAGUAACACGUGGGUAACCUGCCUUAUAGUGGGGGAUAGCCUUUCGAAAGGAAGAUUAAUACCGCAUAAUAUUGUAGUUUCGCAUGAAACAACAAUUAAAGAUUUAUCGCUAUAAGAUGGACCCGCGGCGCAUUAGCUAGUUGGUAAGGUAACGGCUUACCAAGGCGACGAUGCGUAGCCGACCUGAGAGGGUGAUCGGCCACAUUGGGACUGAGACACGGCCCAGACUCCUACGGGAGGCAGCAGUGGGAUAUUGCACAAUGGGGGAAACCCUGAUGCAGCAACGCCGCGUGAGUGAUGACGGUCUUCGGAUUGUAAAGCUCUGUCUUUAGGGACGAUAAUGACGGUACCUAAGGAGGAAGCCACGGCUAACUACGUG
RNAcentral lists this ribosomal RNA (456 nucleotides) under uncultured bacterium. RNAcentral's name for it is "bacterial SSU rRNA". It matches the Rfam family "Bacterial small subunit ribosomal RNA", at positions 28 to 507 of the family's 1533-position model. The record is from RNAcentral.